This 709-nucleotide ribosomal RNA is filed under the name Limosilactobacillus fermentum. Its description in RNAcentral is "bacterial SSU rRNA". It matches the Rfam family "Bacterial small subunit ribosomal RNA", at positions 173 to 876 of the family's 1533-position model. Lineage: Bacteria; Bacillati; Bacillota; Bacilli; Lactobacillales; Lactobacillaceae. The record is from RNAcentral.
AACACCGUUGUUCGAAUGAACAACGGUUUUAAGAUGGUUUCUUGCUCUCACUUCUGGAUGGACCUGCGGUGCAUUAACUUGUUGGUGGGGUAACGCCCUACCAAGGCGGGGAUGCAUAUCCGAGUUGAGACCCUGAUUCCCCCCGAUGGGACUGAGACACGGCCCAUACUCCUACGGGAGGUGGUGGAGGGAAUCUUCCGGGUGGGCGCAAGCCUGAGGGAUCAACCCCGCGUGAGUGAAGAAGGGUUUCGGCUCACAAAGCUCUGUUGUUAAUGAAGAACCCAAAGGAAAGCCCCUGUUCUUAGGUUGGCGGUAUUUGACCAGAACGUCACGGGUUACUCCCUGCCCUUCGCCUUGGAACUACUUAUGCGGCAAGUGUUAUCCGCCCCUAUUGUUCCUUUAGAGUUUGAACGUGGUUUUCUAAUUCCCAUGUGGAAGCCUUCAGGUUAUCCGGACAGGUGCAUCGGAAACUGGACCUCCUGCAUGCAGAACACGGUAGUGAAACUCCGUGUGUACCGGGGGACUGAUUCUGUUUACUGACCAAGACUUCUGGUCACAGCGGCUACUUGGUAUCCAGCUGACGCCCACACCCCUGGGGGUGUUUCGCAAAUAUGAUAUAUACCCUGGUAGUCCGGGCGUCAACAACCACUGCUGGCUGUAGGAUGUCAGUUCCGUCGACGUCGGCCGUAAGCCUAAGGACUUCGCUGGA